Molecule: transfer RNA, 63 nt
Filed under: Amusiotheres obtusidentatus
Lineage: Eukaryota; Metazoa; Arthropoda; Malacostraca; Decapoda; Pinnotheridae
Description: tRNA-His
Source: RNAcentral
AUCUAAGUAGUUUAAAAAAAAUAUAAAUUUGUGGUGUUUAAGAUGUAUAAGUUACCUUAGAUA